Non-coding RNA from Biomphalaria pfeifferi, 1205 nucleotides. NCBI's taxonomy places the organism in Eukaryota, Metazoa, Mollusca, Gastropoda, Planorbidae. The record is from the annotation of a GenBank genome assembly.
CUCUGAUUUUGCCUACUUUUAUUCAUUGUAAAGGUAUUCAUCACAAAUUUGAUUUGUAAAAACACUAACAACAAUGUAACAAUGAAAAGCCUUACAAACAUUUUAUGGUGUUUACCAUAUUUCAAUAAGUUAAUCACAUGUACUUUCAAUUGACCAAAGCAGUGUUUCUGUACUUAUGACUAUGACUUACUUUCGAAUAACUACAUUUCAUAGAGUAUACUCAACAACCUGGACACAAAAUAUUUUAAAGAUUCUAGUGAUCUUAAAUGUUUGAGAACCAUUGUCUUAACUACCAUAUUAAUAAAAGUCUUUAAAAAAGUGAAAACAAAAAUGCUACAUUGUAACAAAAAAAUUUUUAAAAACAUAAACAAGGUCUCAAUGAGAAGUGAAACAGAACAUUAGACUUCUUUGAACACAACAAAAUUGUAAGGAUCAAUUGUGAUUGCCAUUAGUUUGAAGAGGAAAAAACAAAGUCAAAUAUUUGUGAUCUGAUGGAUCAAAAGGUUUUUAUGAAGAAACAUAAAAAGUUACCAAAGUUCCAGAAACUAUUUUAUUUAUAAAAUCUGAAAAAAAAAUGUAUUGAAGGUGAUAAAAUGAGAAUUUCAUUUUUUGUUUGAUUGUUGGGUUUUAAAAUAUCUGUAUCAAGAAAGCUAUAGACAGCGAGAAAACAUGGGCCUCGACUCUUGGAGAAAAGGGUACCACACUGAAAAUGGCCAGCCCCUCUACCACCAAAGCAAAAGCUACAUUGACAUGCAAUAUAUGUGGAGGGGAGUGUCUCUCCAAAACAGGGCUUCACAGACAUUUGAAAAAGUGUUUGAGAUGAACCAUAGUCGUUUUAAGACCGAAGGAGGCCGACGCCGAUGUGUCAUACAAUAAUGAUAAGUAAAUUAAAUAAAAUCUUAAUCUGAUUCUCUCAAAUUUGAAUCAAUUUUAUAAAAUAGCUUGUACUAAGAUUUCCUUAAGUGUUAUAAUAGUGAAAAUGAAAUAGACACAGAUACAACAACUGGUUACUUUACAUUAUGUUAAUUUUUUUAUUUUUUUUUAAAGAGUAUAUUGACCUAGCAAAAUAUUAACUUUGAAUGUUAAGACUGGAUCACAGAUUAAACAGCAGACAAAAUAUAUCAAACAUUAGAUCACAGGUCAAACAGCAGACAAAAUAUAUCAAACAUUAGAUCACAGGUCAAACAGCAGACAAAAUAUAUAAA